This 668-nucleotide ribosomal RNA is filed under the name uncultured Pseudomonadaceae bacterium. RNAcentral describes it as "bacterial SSU rRNA". It matches the Rfam family "Bacterial small subunit ribosomal RNA", at positions 95 to 798 of the family's 1533-position model. The record is from RNAcentral. Lineage: Bacteria; Pseudomonadati; Pseudomonadota; Gammaproteobacteria; Pseudomonadales; Pseudomonadaceae.
GUGGCGCACGGGUGCGUAACGCGUGGGAAUCUGCCCUUGGGUUCGGAAUAACUUCUGGAAACGGAAGCUAAUACCGGAUGAUGACGUAAGUCCAAAGAUUUAUCGCCCAGGGAUGAGCCCGCGUAGGAUUAGCUAGUUGGUGGGGUAAAGGCCUACCAAGGCGACGAUCCUUAGCUGGUCUGAGAGGAUGAUCAGCCACACUGGGACUGAGACACGGCCCAGACUCCUACGGGAGGCAGCAGUAGGGAAUAUUGGACAAUGGGCGCAAGCCUGAUCCAGCAAUGCCGCGUGAGUGAUGAAGGCCUUAGGGUUGUAAAGCUCUUUUACCCGAGAUGAUAAUGACAGUAUCGGGGGAAUAAGCCCCGGCUAACUCCGUGCCAGCAGCCGCGGUAAUACGGAGGGGGCUAGCGUUGUUCGGAAUUACUGGGCGUAAAGGGUGCGUAGGUGGCGGGGAAAGUUGCGUGUUAAAUCUCAAGGCUUAACCUUGAAACCGCUCGCAAUACUACUCUGCUAGAGGACUGUAGAGGAGAAUGGAAUUCACGGUGUAGCAGUGAAAUGCGUAGAUAUCGUGAGGAAGACCAGUGGCGAAGGCGAUUCUCUGGGCAGUUCCUGACACUGAGGCACGAAGGCCAGGGGAGCAAACGGGAUUAGAUACCCCGGUAGUCCUG